ACGGACACACUGAAACAAGCGGCGCCUCUCCCUUCUUCUUCGGCGAAACGCCGCCUCCGUCUCCGGCCGGCGUCGACUGCCGCCGCGCCUAAGCCCGGCGUUCUCCUCCCUCUCGAUCUCGUCUCUCUUUUUUCUCCAAGAUAGCAGCGCCGCCUUCUUCCUUGGCUGUUCACCGGCGUUGUUCUCUCUCUUCAUCGCAGACCCAAAAACGAGCCAUGAAAUCUGGAAUGUCGCUGCUGCCGACUGGAGUUGCUGCUCUUGACCUUGCUCUCUGUUUCUCUACUCCCAAGUCAUCUCCCCCUCUCAAUCUAUGGAGCGGAGGAAAAUCUUUACUCCUAAUUCAGAAAUCGCCUCAGCUCGACGCCGCUCUACUAUGAAAUUCCGGCGAGCAGGAGAGUGUCCGACGCCCUCAUCGAUUCUCCGAUGAGUAGUAAAUCAGGGUAGGGCGGCGUCCGCUGCUCCCCUCUUUCACUCGCGUACACGAACAAGGGAAAGGCCGAGUUCUCGGUCCUCUUAGCUCAGGCGAGAGAGUCACCGCCGU
This 541-nucleotide long non-coding RNA is filed under the name Salvia miltiorrhiza (redroot sage). Its description in RNAcentral is "long non-coding RNA (SMIL_LNC002756)". The record is from RNAcentral. Lineage: Eukaryota; Viridiplantae; Streptophyta; Magnoliopsida; Lamiales; Lamiaceae.